Molecule: unclassified non-coding RNA, 1315 nt
Filed under: Leishmania donovani
Lineage: Eukaryota; Euglenozoa; Kinetoplastea; Trypanosomatida; Trypanosomatidae
Description: gene:LdHU3.09.1240(CDS-product:PUB_domain_contain ing_protein_putative)
Source: RNAcentral
CCUGCACCUACAUAUCAGCAGAUGAAUGCUGUCAAGCUUCCUGAGGAGUGGGAGACGCUGUGCAGCACCAGCGACGCAGAAGUUAUCCAUGAGUGUAUCAACGGUGUUUUUAGGCGACUUCUGGCCAACUUGCUCUUGGACUUUAAUAAUCCCAAGUUCCGCCAAGUAAAAAAGGACAACAAGGCCCUUCGCCGCCUCACAGAGUCACUACCAGCAGGCUUCAUCGAAUUUCUUUUCUCAAGCAUUGGUUUUGCCAAGCAUGAAGAUGCCUUUAUCUUUGAGGGGUCGCUGGAGUCGCUCAAGCACGGCGAUACCGUUUUAUCGUGCAUCGAGGACAUCUUUGGCAAGGAGAGGCUACAAGCUGCCCAAUGUGGACUCUACCGCCUCAGGAACUUGGCAAUCAAAAAAGCCGAAAAUGGCCUCACGCAAAGGGAAAUGGCGACUGCUACUGCACGGCUGCAGAGAGCUCGACCUCUCUCACAGGAAGAAGACGCAAAGCGCCAAGCUCAGCAGAGCGGAACUGAGAAAGAUGUGGCGGAAGAACACGCAGUAAAGGAAGCUGUGCGUAAGACGCUCCUCAACACCGGACGUGUGCGAAACGGAUUUUUCGAGGCACGUGACUUUAGUGUCCGCACCAUGCAGCACGGUCGGGUCUACGCCUGCACAAAAAAGUGUCCUGAUCACUGCGUUGAGGCGCAUUGGCAUCUUUUCACUGGGAGAAACAUUCUGUAUUCCCACCUCGCGCACCUUUCUGCUGAUGGGACGCGGCUCCUGCACCUAGGCCCUGAGCACGGAUAUCAAUAUAACAGCCUCCCUGGGUCGGCGAACUUCGGCAAAAUGAUCCACUUUAGCGAGAAGCUGAUGGAUGAAAAUGGAAGGCUGGUGCACAUCAAAAAUGACGACAAACCCGUUACCGCGUGCAUUUACUGUGGCCGCGCGUUCGCCGAAUUGUUACUGUAGACUACAACUGCAUAUAUACGAAAGCAGGGCAAAAAAGUCUUUAGCAAAAAAAAAAAGCGAAAGCACCUCUGCUUGCUUCAAGCAGCAAAUUACUUGAAAUCUGUGAAAGAAUACUACAGAUUCGAGCGAUUCUCAAAGUUCCUCGAAAAUGGAGAGGAGCAUUAUGUUCCCUUCCGUUUUUUGAGCAACCGCCCUGUGUGCAACAAGCGCGCACAGGCGUGUGACUUUUUACGACGCAAAAAAAAAAUGACUAAUUGUUUGCUGAACUCAACUCUUUUUUCUUGGCUGCACCAACUCCAAUUUGCUUACUUCAAAUAUUGGUCUUUUUUUUUUUGAGGGCUGGUCGGCUCUGUAG